RNAcentral lists this long non-coding RNA (480 nucleotides) under Lonchura striata (white-rumped munia). RNAcentral's name for it is "domestica (Bengalese finch) lncRNA (ENSLSDG00000018133.1)". The stretch from base 226 to 444 matches the Rfam family "SOX2 overlapping transcript exon 1". The record is from RNAcentral. Lineage: Eukaryota; Metazoa; Chordata; Aves; Passeriformes; Estrildidae.
AGCCAGAGUAACCUUUUGUCUACAAUUAAAUAUUCUAGCAUAAAUAUAAAAGAAAAUCAGAGAUGGGAAAGAUUGACUCACGAGAGAUUGGAGAGGUAGAUUCGCACGGUGAUAGUGCAAGCAGCUUGCUUCUAAUUAAAUAUGCGGCUGAGUCUCAAAGCAUUUGCUUUCAGCCGCAGAGAGAAGAAGCUGCCCAAGAAUGGAAAGGAAGAAAUAUAUCACAUCAUCUGUCUGUCCACAGGCUUUCCUCUGGGCUUAUGGAGAUUUCCUAGGGGUAAUUAUUUCCCACUGACUCAGACCACAGGACAGUGUGAGCACGUAACAAAUAUCUUCUUGUCCAGUUCUCAGGUGUUUAGCACCUAUCAGAAUUUCACCUGUAUGGGUCCUGUGCUUGAGAAAGUCCCAGGAGCUGUCAGCUGCAUAGGCCUCACAAAAGACAGCUCUGUUCAGGGUUGGAAAGGGACUGCAGUUAAGAGCUAG